AGGACGAACGCUGGCGGCGUGCCUAACACAUGCAAGUCGAACGCGCUCCAUUCGGUAGCAAUACUGAUGAAGAGUGAGUGGCGAACGGGUGAGUAGCACGUGAGCAACCUGCCCCGAAGACUGGGACAACACCGGGAAACCGGUGCUAAUACCGGAUACCCUUAUCGGACCGCAUGAUUCGAUAAGGAAAUGGAUUCCGCUUCGGGAGGGGCUCGCGGCCUAUCAGCUUGUUGGUGGGGUAAUGGCCUACCAAGGCUUCGACGGGUAGCUGGUCUGAGAGGACGAUCAGCCACACUGGGACUGAGACACGGCCCAGACUCCUACGGGAGGCAGCAGUGGGGAAUCUUGCGCAAUGGGCGAAAGCCUGACGCAGCAACGCCGCGUGGAGGACGAAUGCUUUCUGAGUUGUAAACUCCUUUCAGCAGGGACGAUAGUGACGGUACCUGCAGAAGAAGCACCGGCCAACUACGCGCCAGCAGCCG
This 482-nucleotide ribosomal RNA is filed under the name uncultured bacterium. RNAcentral's name for it is "SSU rRNA". It matches the Rfam family "Bacterial small subunit ribosomal RNA", at positions 26 to 517 of the family's 1533-position model. The record is from RNAcentral.